Molecule: transfer RNA, 77 nt
Filed under: Sporolactobacillus putidus
Lineage: Bacteria; Bacillati; Bacillota; Bacilli; Caryophanales; Sporolactobacillaceae
Also listed under: 2 other names
Description: tRNA-Arg
Rfam family: tRNA
About the family: Transfer RNA (tRNA) molecules are approximately 80 nucleotides in length. Their secondary structure includes four short double-helical elements and three loops (D, anti-codon, and T loops). Further hydrogen bonds mediate the characteristic L-shaped molecular structure. tRNAs have two regions of fundamental functional importance: the anti-codon, which is responsible for specific mRNA codon recognition, and the 3' end, to which the tRNAs corresponding amino acid is attached (by aminoacyl-tRNA synthetases). tRNAs cope with the degeneracy of the genetic code in two manners: having more than one tRNA (with a specific anti-codon) for a particular amino acid; and 'wobble' base-pairing, i.e. permitting non-standard base-pairing at the 3rd anti-codon position.
Source: RNAcentral
GCGCCCUUAGCUCAAUUGGAUAGAGCGUCUGACUACGGAUCAGAAGGUUGGGGAUUCGAGUUCUCUAGGGCGCACCA